RNAcentral lists this ribosomal RNA (441 nucleotides) under uncultured bacterium. RNAcentral describes it as "partial 16S ribosomal RNA". It matches the Rfam family "Bacterial small subunit ribosomal RNA", at positions 338 to 795 of the family's 1533-position model. The record is from RNAcentral.
CCUACGGGAGGCAGCAGUGGGGGAUAUUGCACAAUGGGGGGAACCCUGAUGCAGCGACGCCGCGUGGGUGAAGGAGUAUUUCGGUAUGUAAAGCCCUAUCGGCAGGGAAGAAAUUGGACGGUACCUGACUAAGAAGCCCCGGCUAACUACGUGCCAGCAGCCGCGGUAAUACGUAGGGGGCAAGCGUUAUCCGGAUUCACUGGGUGUAAAGGGAGCGUAGACGGCCAUGCAAGCCAGGGGUGAAAGCCCGGGGCCCAACCCCGGGACUGCCCUUGAAACUGCAUGGCUGGAGUGUGGGAGGGGCAGGCGGAAUUCCUGGUGUAGCGGUGAAAUGCGUAGAUAUCAGGAGGAACACCGGCGGCGAAGGCGGCCUGCUGGACCGCGACUGACGUUGAGGCUCGAAAGCGUGGGGAGCGAACAGGAUUAGAUACCCGAGUAGUC